GUGCUCCACAGGAGAAGCCACCGCAGUGGGAAGCCCGCACGCUGCAGUGAAGACACAGCACAGCCAAAACAUAAACUGAUUUCAGAGAGCUUCCCUCGUAGCCCACUGGUGAAGACUCCAUGCUUCCACCCCAGGAGGUCGGGUUUAAUCCCUGGUCAGGGAACUAAGAUCCUACACAGUGCAAGGCGUGGCCAAAAGCAAAAACAGAAACCUAAUUCCAACCAUGCUCCUUCUCAGCUUACAAGACCUCCAGCAGCUUCCCUGUGCUCAUGGGCCUGCAAGGUCCUCUGUGCCUCCCCUUGGGCCUACUCCUGCUUGUCUCUAGUUCUUGCCUCCAGAAGGCAUUUCUCUAAAAUAACUACCCCUAGCCCUUUGAGUCACAUCCCAUGUUAAUCUCCUGCUAGUCCUCGUCACAGCCUGAAGCAUUCUUCGCUAUGGGUUUGAUUACUUAUUGUCCAUCUCACCGCCCUCCCAGGAAACAUAGCCUCGCCUCCAGCUCCUAGCACGUGACCUGGUGCGCAGAGGGCACUGACGUUUGUUGACUGAUUGGCUGGACUGAGACCACGAGGCUGUGAAAGAUGUAACAGUUAGACUUGGCUCAUCUGACAAGGAAGUAAAGCAGCUGACAUUCAUGAAACCCUUGGUGGAUGCUGGCCACACGAACAUGAGAGAUGGGACUGGAAAAUGAAAUGAACCAGUCUUCAUCCUUGAUCAGCCAGAGGAUCUUCAGCCCCGCCCCUUGUCUCCACCUUCCGAACCCAGGAAAAGUCCGCCGGUGAGAAUCUGACCGGAGACAAGCACGGCCUAGGUGGUGGCUCAGCCCUGCCACCUCCCAGCAGGGUGAUUGUGAAGAAAUCUCUUAACCUGUCCAGGCUUCAGCUUUUCCAUCUGCAUUUUGGGGAUGAUGAUAAGACAAAACUCACAGCGCUGUCCUGAGGCUUAAAGGAGGGUAAUUCAGGCUCUUAGUGCAGUGCCCGGCCACAAGAUAAAAUACACCGAAAGUUCCUCUGAGGGGCUGCUGACACCGGGAGCAUCCUGCUGUGAUGAUGGUACUAAAAGAGGGACUAGGAGUUACUUGUCAACAGUGUGUAUGUUGGACUUGCAUUUGUGUUUAUUUACAUGUCAGUUACAGGCCUGAGAGAAAAGGUCUCGUCUUGCCUCUUUGGCACAGGUUCAGAAAUCUCACAUGGAUUGUGGAAAUAAAGUUUCUG
Molecule: long non-coding RNA, 1211 nt
Organism: Capra hircus (goat)
Lineage: Eukaryota; Metazoa; Chordata; Mammalia; Artiodactyla; Bovidae
Exons: 3
Source: RefSeq, a predicted model, not a curated record